This 484-nucleotide ribosomal RNA is filed under the name uncultured bacterium. RNAcentral describes it as "partial 16S ribosomal RNA". It matches the Rfam family "Bacterial small subunit ribosomal RNA", at positions 30 to 507 of the family's 1533-position model. The record is from RNAcentral.
AUUGAACGCUGGCGGCAGGCCUAACACGUGCAAGUCGAGCGGAUGAAGGGAGCUUGCUCCUGGAUUCAGCGGCGGACGGGUGAGUAAUGCCUAGGAAUCUGCCUGGUAGUGGGGGAUAACGUCCGGAAACGGGCGCUAAUACCGCAUACGUCCUGAGGGAGAAAGUGGGGGAUCUUCGGACCUCACGCUAUCAGAUGAACCUAGGUCGGAUUAGCUAGUUGGUGGGGUAAAGGCCUACCAAGGCGACGAUCCGUAACUGGUCUGAGAGGAUGAUCAGUCACACUGGAACUGAGACACGGUCCAGACUCCUACGGGAGGCAGCAGUGGGGAAUAUUGGACAAUGGGCGAAAGCCUGAUCCAGCCAUGCCGCGUGUGUGAAGAAGGUCUUCGGAUUGUAAAGCACUUUAAGUUGGGAGGAAGGGCAGUAAGUUAAUACCUUGCUGUUUUGACGUUACCAACAGAAUAAGCACCGGCUAACUUCGUG